Transfer RNA from Camelus ferus (Wild Bactrian camel), 71 nucleotides. It matches the Rfam family "tRNA". From Rfam's summary of the family: Transfer RNA (tRNA) molecules are approximately 80 nucleotides in length. Their secondary structure includes four short double-helical elements and three loops (D, anti-codon, and T loops). The record is from Rfam. NCBI's taxonomy places the organism in Eukaryota, Metazoa, Chordata, Mammalia, Artiodactyla, Camelidae.
GAGGGUAUAGCUCAGUGUAGAGCGCAUGCUUAGCAUGCAUGAGGUCCGGGGUUCAAUUCCCAGUAUCUCCA